AGGACGAACGCUGGCGGCGUGCUUCACACAUGCAAGUCGAACGGGGCUCAUUCGGUGGUAACACCGGAGAAGGCCUAGUGGCGAACGGGUGCGUAACACGUGAAGAACCUGCCCCGAAGACUGGGAUAACAGCGGGAAACCGCUGCUAAUACCGGAUGACCCCACCAGGCCGCAUGGCCAGGUGAGGAAAUGGGCCUACCGCUUCGGGAGGGCUUCGCGGCCUAUCAGCUUGUUGGUGGGGUAACGGCCUACCAAGGCUACGACGGGUAGCUGGUCUGAGAGGACGACCAGCCACACUGGGACUGAGACACGGCCCAGACUCCUACGGGAGGCAGCAGUGGGGGAAUCUUGCGCAAUGGGCGAAAAGCCUGACGCAGCAACGCCGCGUGAGGGAUGAAGGUCUUCGGGUUGUAAACCUCUUUCGAGCAGGGACGAUUGUGACGGUACCUGCAGAAGAAGCUCCGGCCAACUACGUGCCAGCAGCGCGGU
This 489-nucleotide ribosomal RNA is filed under the name uncultured bacterium. Its description in RNAcentral is "SSU rRNA". It matches the Rfam family "Bacterial small subunit ribosomal RNA", at positions 26 to 521 of the family's 1533-position model. The record is from RNAcentral.